CACUAGGUAACUAAAGUAAGUAUUGGUCUCUUAAACCAUAUAAUAGUAAUUAACGGAUACUCCUAUUGA
Molecule: transfer RNA, 69 nt
Filed under: Holotrichia sp. NS-2020
Lineage: Eukaryota; Metazoa; Arthropoda; Insecta; Coleoptera; Scarabaeidae
Description: tRNA-Lys
Source: RNAcentral